GAUGGAUUAAAUUGUGAGGGGAAGAUUAAGAGGCACAAACUUCCAGUUAUAAAAUAAAUGUCAUGAGUAUGUAAUAUACAGCAAAAGGAAUAUGGUCAAUGACACUGCAAUAACUUUGUAUGGAGACAGAUGGUUACCAGACAUUAUGGUGAU
Non-coding RNA from Vicugna pacos (alpaca), 153 nucleotides. Lineage: Eukaryota; Metazoa; Chordata; Mammalia; Artiodactyla; Camelidae. The record is from RefSeq and is a predicted model, not a curated record.